Molecule: transfer RNA, 83 nt
Filed under: Candidatus Ancillula prorhinotermitis
Lineage: Bacteria; Bacillati; Actinomycetota; Actinomycetes; Bifidobacteriales; Bifidobacteriaceae
Description: tRNA-Ser
Rfam family: tRNA
About the family: Transfer RNA (tRNA) molecules are approximately 80 nucleotides in length. Their secondary structure includes four short double-helical elements and three loops (D, anti-codon, and T loops). Further hydrogen bonds mediate the characteristic L-shaped molecular structure. tRNAs have two regions of fundamental functional importance: the anti-codon, which is responsible for specific mRNA codon recognition, and the 3' end, to which the tRNAs corresponding amino acid is attached (by aminoacyl-tRNA synthetases). tRNAs cope with the degeneracy of the genetic code in two manners: having more than one tRNA (with a specific anti-codon) for a particular amino acid; and 'wobble' base-pairing, i.e. permitting non-standard base-pairing at the 3rd anti-codon position.
Source: RNAcentral
GGAGAUGUGCCUGAGCGGUCGAAAGGAGCGGUCUUGAAAACCGUCGAGGGAAACCUCCUAGGGUUCGAAUCCCUACAUCUCCG